GACGAACGCUGGCGGCGUGCCUAAUACAUGCAAGUAGAACGCACAGUUUAUACCGUAGCUUGCUACACCAUAAACUGUGAGUUGCGAACGGGUGAGUAACGCGUAGGUAACCUGCCUGGUAGCGGGGGAUAACUAUUGGAAACGAUAGCUAAUACCGCAUAAUAUUGAUUAUUGCAUGAUAAUUGAUUGAAAGAUGCUAUUGCAUCACUACCAGAUGGACCUGCGUUGUAUUAGCUAGUAGGUGAGGUAACGGCUCACCUAGGCGACGAUACAUAGCCGACCUGAGAGGGUGAUCGGCCACACUGGGACUGAGACACGGCCCAGACUCCUACGGGAGGCAGCAGUAGGGAAUCUUCGGCAAUGGACGAAAGUCUAACCGAGCAACGCCGCGUGAGUGAAGAAGGUUUUCGGAUCGUAAAGCUCUGUUGUAAGAGAAGAACGGGUGUGAGAGUGGAAAGUUCACACUGUGACGGUAUCUUACCAGAAAGGGACGGCUAACUACGU
RNAcentral lists this ribosomal RNA (504 nucleotides) under uncultured bacterium. Its description in RNAcentral is "partial 16S ribosomal RNA". It matches the Rfam family "Bacterial small subunit ribosomal RNA", at positions 28 to 506 of the family's 1533-position model. The record is from RNAcentral.